Molecule: long non-coding RNA, 924 nt
Filed under: Capsella grandiflora
Lineage: Eukaryota; Viridiplantae; Streptophyta; Magnoliopsida; Brassicales; Brassicaceae
Description: long non-coding RNA (CGRA_LNC000366)
Source: RNAcentral
AACACAAAACGAAAGGAGAGAUAAAUUAAAAGCAUGAAGAAAUGAAGUUUCCUUUGUUACUUAUUCGCAAGAGUCUGCUGAAGAAUUUUUCCAUUAGACAGACAGAGAGACAGGUAAUAUUUAUUAUUUUGCAAUCUUGAAUCUUGAUAUUCAAAUCUAGCUCCUCUUGUUUCGCCUCUUUUUGUGAAAUGUAAACACAUGUUAUCUCCUCAUCAACUAAUAAAACUCUUUGCACUCUUCAUAUAUGCAAGAACCAUUAACAAAACUCUGUGCUGGCUAACCACACCACUAAUAAGGCCAGUUUAAGUAAAUUAAGCAUCAUUGUUCAAAAGUGAUCAGACUAGACACACUCAUCUCUUUGACAGUCCUUAAUUACAACAUGUAAUGUUACAGUAGUUUAUGAAAGUCUCUGUACGCACUCUUAACUAGAGGGUGAAUUAAGAACUCUGUGUUGUGUUCUGUGUUAGUGCACAACAGCACAAGAGAGCUAAAAGACAUAGCAGCCUUGCAAGUUGCAAACUAUAUGAGUUUAUUAUUAUGUAGUUUCAUUGUACAUCCACACAAGCUAUAAACACACAGUCAUUUGCUAUAUGAAGAAACGUUUGCUUUCGCAGGUACAAAUCAAAAGAGUCAAGAUUUGAAGAAUCAUAGUAGCUACCAGCUAUGUAUUCUCUAGAACUUUGCAUUUUAUCUAUCAAAGUUAUGUACAAGAGUUCGAAUUGUUUGUUUCACUCAACCGGAUAUAAAACGGUCUUUUUGUUUUCCUUUCAAAAAUACUAUUUAAUUUUCAUAUAUUUUUAAUAAAUCGACUAUGUAAAACUUUAAAAGUUAUAUUGAAAAAUCAAAACAAAUUUAUAGUGUCCAAACUCCAAAGUCCAGACAAGACAUAAAUCUCACUUUUUGGUUUAAAAUAAUUAGUGUCUU